GCCGCCGGCCUCCCAUCCUGCACAAAUAGAAUGAGCGUCCCUUGGCCACCGCCGCUCCGUCGGAGAUGGCACUCCCCAUGGCGGACGGCUCCUCGCAGGAAUUCAUGGCCGCCACCGCCGCUCUGCCGGAGACGGCGUUCAGAUCUAACUUAAUUUCUCGUGUGCUUUGUUUCUAUAUCGAUCCAAUCGAAUCCGGUUAAGUCUUCGACCGAGCAAGCCGGAUGGGGAGAAAGCGCACAGACGCCUCUUUGGCGGCGCCGCUCGACGCCCGCAAGUGCCGCCGGCCGGAGCAGGCAAGCGGCGGUUGGGCAUCUCUCGCCACCGACAUAGUCGGCCUCGUCACCGGCCGACUCCUCGACGACAUUGACAUCGCGGGCUACAUCUUCUUCCACGCUGUCUGCUCGGCCUGGCGUGCCUACACGCCCCCUCCGGCCUGGAGACAUCAAGCCAGGCGAUAGAUCGAUCCCUAUGCACGUAGGCAAGCUACAGGUAGGUGUGCUGCUCGGCAGGCGGCGGCUCCUCCAAUUAGGCCCAGGAAUCAGCCAUUCAGGUCGCCAGUCCCAUCUUCUCUAGGUACGCCUGUGGUCGCUGCCUUAAAUUUUUCUGUAGAAUCAACUCGUCCAGACGGUAUUUCCUAAAUUGUUCUCUAUUCUUUGGCAAAAAUUGUUGCUAGCGAUCUAUUAGAUGAAAGUAUGAAACCCGAAGAAAGUUCUGUCUAGAGUUUAUGCUUUAUAAUUUAUAUACUGCCUCUAUUCACUAAGAAAGGAUGUCGCAUUUUUGACUAAAUUCCAACGUAUCUAGACACUCUUAGUGUAUAACUACAUCCAAAUGUAGACAAAUCUUGGACAUCUUUUUAUGGACUGAGGGAGUAUGUAUUUAUUUGUCAAAUUUUGAAGUCUCAUACAAAAAAAUCAUUUUUUCAAACGAGCAGAUAUAAUGGAUAGAUUUCUCAAAAAAAAAGCAUGAGAUGUCCGAGAGGAGCUGAAUUAGAAAGAGGAGAUUCAGUAUCCUUGAGUACUAUAUUUAAUGUCAUUCUACUACUUUCCACUUAAAAUUAAUUAUACUUUGUAUCUUGUAGGUUAUUGAGUUGCAUUUGAUGAUUUACUUAGAAUUUGGAAAUGGAAGAUAUAUUUUCAAAGUAACGGGCUCAUCAAUAUUGUAGGCCUUUUGAUUUUUAAAUACCAUUUUUUUUGUAUGUUCUUCAAGUAUGCAAUAUUAUAUAUGUUGUAAGCUAUAAAUCAUAUUUAUAUUUAGUAGAUUGUUGCUCGAUUUUUUUGUUAUAGUUAGUUGUGCGUCAGGGUCACUCGAGCUCCAGCUCUGCCCGCACACACACUUUCUUUGAUAUUAGGUAGAGAUAUGCAGAAUACAGACAACACAUUUUCUGGUAUAUAUUACCAAGUUCAUGCCUGCUGGUGAUCUACUGCACAUAUCUUAAUCACUAGAAACUAACGAGGUAUUCUUUUCAAUCUGAUUCUCAACUAUACUAAAUGAUAUGGCUGUAGUAUUCUCUCAGACUAUUUUUUUUUCAUUACAUUGUUUCUUAAAUUUGUUUCAAAUUUGGACUAAGUGUACUGGGCUGCUGUUACAAUUAGGGAAUCACUGUACAUAUGCCCACACUAUUAAAUGUAUGUAUUCCUCCGCAGUUCAUGUGUACUCUUAGUUGCCCCAUAUGUUUUCUAUCUACUACAAUGCAUUCGGUACUGUCAGGUAAUGAAUUAGUAAAGGCCUUAGGUGGCAUUGUUGUGCAAAACUGCAGUAAUCCAACCCAACAAAAAAGUUUUGAGUGUGUCCUCUGAACUUCUUUUAAUCAAGAUCUGUCGUGCAGCUCAGGAGAAUCCCGACGGAGAACAAGAGGGCGCUAAUGGAGAAGCCAAUCAUGACCCCGCGGAGGAGCUAAGCCGCAGAAGAUCUACAUGUCUGAAGCCAGUUGUAGGUUUGUUAUGAUGCUCUUCCGAACUAAGGCGCCCAGCUUCACGUCGGCCAUCACCACACAUGUGCCCUGCACUGUCAGAGCUAGAAUUUCUGAAAAUGACUCUCAUAUUACUUUGCAUAGAAAGCAUUAGCAUCGAUGAGACGCUAAUCAUACCUACAUUAUUGUUAUCUUGGCAACCAGAAGCAUGGUGGCAGAUCGCAACUACGAUGAGUUCAUCAGCGUUGAGACCUUGCAGAGCUCAGGAGAAUCCCGACGGAGAACAAGAAGGCGCUGAUGGAGAAGCCAAUCAUGACCCCACGGAGGAGCUAACCCGCAGAAGAUCUACAUGUCUGAAGGCAGUUGUAGCAGGAUGUUUCCAAAAUGAUAACUUCCGGAUGGAACGACAUUUCCGACGAGAUAUCUAGCAGAUCAAAGUCCAGCAAUCUUUCUGCCAAACCAAAAGUAGAGACUAAGGUUGAUUUCUCCUCAGUUCAUCUAAAAAAUGGCACCUGAAAAAGAGGUUUUGGCAAAGUUCACUGGUGACCAGCAAAUACACGCAGAAAAUGCAAACGGUCGUGCAUCUUUAUUCUGCAAGUUGGAUCGUGGGAGUUAGGAAGACAUGAAGGUGAACUGUGCAGGGCAAGUCAUCUGGGAAAUCAACAAUCUCCAAGAACCUGAUUAUAGCAUACAAGUUGGACCUCAAGGAGGAAAGGAGACACAUGUGCUAGGGACGUGAGAUGUGUUAGAUGGCAGCACCACCUGCCUUGGGCAGGAAAUUCACCCACGGCAGUACAAGUGAUAUCAUCUCUGUUUUUUCUAAUAUUUUGUUGAAAAUUUUCUUAAAGAGUGACAUGAUGAUAUUGAUCUGUUCAUUGAUGCUCUGGUUUAAAAAUAAACUGAUUGUAAUUCUACUACCACUAAUUAAGGUAACUCAGUAUUAUCA
Long non-coding RNA from Lolium rigidum, 2855 nucleotides. RefSeq lists it as uncharacterized. Lineage: Eukaryota; Viridiplantae; Streptophyta; Magnoliopsida; Poales; Poaceae. The record is from RefSeq and is a predicted model, not a curated record. The transcript is spliced from 5 exons.